GGACCUGACUGCUAUCGGAUUGAUACUAAGCCAUGCGAGUCAUUGUAGCAAUACAAGGCAUACGGCUCAGUAACGCGUAGUCAACCUAACCUAUGGACGGGAAUAACCUCGGGAAACUGAGAAUAAUGCCCGAUAGAACAUUAUGCCUGGAAUGGUUUAUGUUCCAAAUGAUUUAUCGCCGUAGGAUGGGACUGCGGCCUAUCAGUUUGUUGGUGAGGUAAUGGCCCACCAAGACUAUUACAGGUACGGGCUCUGAGAGGAGUAGCCCGGAGAUGGGUACUAAGACACGGACCCAGGCCCUAUGGGGCGCAGCAGGCGAGAAAACUUUGCAAUGUGCGAAAGCACGACGAAGGUUAAUCCGAGUGGUUUCUGCUAAAGAAACCUUUUGUCGAGUCCUAGAAACACUGAUGAAUAAGGGGUGGGCGAAGUUCUGGUGU
RNAcentral lists this ribosomal RNA (437 nucleotides) under uncultured archaeon. RNAcentral describes it as "bacterial SSU rRNA". It matches the Rfam family "Archaeal small subunit ribosomal RNA", at positions 19 to 458 of the family's 1478-position model. The record is from RNAcentral.